This 775-nucleotide ribosomal RNA is filed under the name uncultured Neocallimastigales. Its description in RNAcentral is "partial large subunit ribosomal RNA". It matches the Rfam family "Eukaryotic large subunit ribosomal RNA", at positions 18 to 616 of the family's 3401-position model. Lineage: Eukaryota; Fungi; Neocallimastigomycota; Neocallimastigomycetes; Neocallimastigales. The record is from RNAcentral.
UCAGACGAUGCGUCAUGCAUAUCAAUAAGCGGAGGAAAAGAAACUAACAAGGAUUCCCCUAGUAACGGCGAGUGAAGCGGGAAGAGCUCAAAUUUGAAAUCUUAAAGGGUUUCCCUUUACGAAUUGUAGUUUAAAGAAGUGCUUUCUGUUGAGGUUUUGGUAAAAGUUCUUUGGAAUAGGACAUCAUAGAGGGUGAGAAUCCCGUAUUUGACCUUUACUUUCAACUUUGUGAUACACUUUCAAAGAGUCGGAUUGUUUGGGAAUGCAGUCCAAAAUGGGUGGUAAAUUUCAUCUAAAGCUAAAUAUUGGCGAGAGACCGAUAGCGAACAAGUACCGUGAGGGAAAGAUGAAAAGAACUUUGAAAAGAGAGUUAAACAGUACGUGAAAUUGUCAAAAGGGAAGCGUUUGACACCAGUGUUGUUUUUCUGAAAAUCAAUUAAAGAACUGUUUAUGCUAAGUUGUUUAGACUUUAUCAGCUAACUGUUUAGUUUUGAGCUUUUCUUUAAUGCACUUUUCAGUUAACAAGUCAACAUCAAUUUCUUUUGCUGUAAAAAAGCUUGAGGAAGGUGGCUUGAGAUUCGUCUUAAGUGUUUAUAGCCUCUUGCCUAUGCAGUCGGAGAGAUUGAGGUCUGCAGCGUAGGAUCCUUCGGGGCUAAAUGCAUUUGUGCUAAGUUAUAGCAUUUUAUAGACAACUUGUUGACUAUGAUUUGUCUUGUAGCUUACUCGCUUAUGUUAUUUUACCUACGCUUAGGAUGUUGAGCGCAUGUCUCUCUCU